GAUCAUGGCUCAGAUUGAACGCUGGCGGCAUGCCUUACACAUGCAAGUCGAACGGCAGCACGGGAGCUUGCUCCUGGUGGCGAGUGGCGAACGGGUGAGUAAUACAUCGGAACGUACCCUGAAGUGGGGAUAACGUAGCGAAAGUUACGCUAAUACCGCAUAUUCUGUGAGCAGGAAAGAGGGGGAUCGCAAGACCUCUUGCUUUAGGAGCGGCCGAUGUCGGAUUAGCUAGUUGGUGAGGUAAAGGCUCACCAAGGCGACGAUCCGUAGCGGGUCUGAGAGGAUGAUCCGCCACACUGGGACUGAGACACGGCCCAGACUCCUACGGGAGGCAGCAGUGGGGAAUUUUGGACAAUGGGCGCAAGCCUGAUCCAGCCAUGCCGCGUGAGUGAAGAAGGCCUUCGGGUUGUAAAGCUCUUUCGGUGGGGAAGAAAUUGCUUCGGUUAAUACCUGGAGUAGAUGACGGUACCCGCAUAAGAAGCACCGGCUAACUACGUG
RNAcentral lists this ribosomal RNA (498 nucleotides) under uncultured bacterium. RNAcentral's name for it is "bacterial SSU rRNA". It matches the Rfam family "Bacterial small subunit ribosomal RNA", at positions 15 to 507 of the family's 1533-position model. The record is from RNAcentral.